Molecule: ribosomal RNA, 253 nt
Filed under: uncultured bacterium
Lineage: Bacteria
Description: partial 16S ribosomal RNA
Rfam family: Bacterial small subunit ribosomal RNA
Source: RNAcentral
UACAGAGGGUGCGAGCGUUGUUCGGAAUUAUUGGGCGUAAAGGGCUCGUAGGCGGUUUGUCGCGUCGGGAGUGAAAUCCACUGGCUUAACUGGUGGCUUGCUUUCGAUACGGGCAGACUGGAGGUAUGCAGGGGAGAACGGAAUUCCUGGUGUAGCGGUGAAAUGCGCAGAUAUCAGGAGGAACGCCGGUGGCGAAGGCGGUUCUCUGGGCAUGUCCUGACGCUGAGGAGCGAAAGUGUGGGGAGCGAACAGG